Paramuricea clavata is the source of this 1493-nucleotide non-coding RNA. The record is from the annotation of a GenBank genome assembly. Lineage: Eukaryota; Metazoa; Cnidaria; Anthozoa; Malacalcyonacea; Plexauridae.
GCUAGAAAUACCGCCUGCCCAAAACCUACACAUGCAUUCUGAGUUCCGCCCACCGAACGCAUGGUUCCGCCCAUCUUAAUGUAUUUAUUUGUCAAACUUACGUAUUGUAUUUGCACCAGUGCAAAUAUAUACGGCUUUGACGUUUCAUAUCUUCGGUUCAUUCAAUGCUAUGAAGACAAAAAUACCACGUUCGAUUCAGUGUAACAAUAUGUCCUCAUUCAUAGCGAUAGUUUUAGUCGAUGUCAACAUCAUAGCGAUUUAUUAGCUUUGAAAGUCAAGCGAGUUCGUAUAUUAUCAAAUUACGCCAUUGUCUGAACAAAAAUAUAGACUAGCCAUACCUUUCGCUGAACAUAACUUCGGCCCCUUCGGACGUAACUUCUCUUGUUCUAACCGCUAUCAAAAACACGACUUAGAGUGUCAUUUGCGAGCCUGUAUCUUCAAAUAUGCAUCUUUUAUCACGGUAUCACAUCUCUAUCAAGCAACAAAUGUUGGAUUGAUAUUCGUUGUUCAUUCUUCAAGACGAUUGGAUUACCGAUUCCAAAUAAAGAUUAAAUAAUUCAACGCUUAAUUCUCAAUUAAUACAUCGGUAUCAUAAAUAUAUCGGUAUCAAGUACGAAAAUAACAAUAGUUUAUAAUACGGCAACAGUAACUUAUAAAAUUACCACUAAUUAAUCUAAUUCUUUACUCCUGUCAAUCAAAACUUCAAAAUGAACAUUCUGACCAAUCAGAAUGCUCAGUCACCCAGCUGCCGGAGAACUCAGAAUGUGUAGUUUAUGGGCAGGCAGUAUUUCUAGCUUCCCGUUCUCUCGUGCCCGCGAAUACGCCUGCUACUCAGGCUAGGACACACAGGAAUAUGGCUAGUUAGAAAUAUAAGAAACACCUAAAAUAAGUUAUUAUUAGAAAUACAUUAAGAUACAAAUUAGCCAUAUAACUAUAGUUUACAACCAUUAGUGUGAAGAAAACAGAGUAUUUGCUAAAAGGCUGCAUGCAUAUAAUUUCAAUGUGUAUUUCUUGACCACUGAUUGAUCUGGUUAAUUUAGGCCGAUUCUUAAGAUGUGGUUGCCAAAUAUUGGAGACAGAGACAAAUUUAAACUUCCCAACAGAUGUAAUCGUAUGUUCUUAAAGUGAACAUGAAAAAUAACUUAAUGAAUAAAUCGUCAGCUAUUGUUUCUACAACAUGUUUCUCCAAUGAGUCAAUAGGGCAUGCGACUACUCAUAUAUACAUAGGUCAACUCAUUGGCAACAAUCAGCAAGGUAUUGUCUGGCCUGAACAAGUGGACUCCGUGUUAAUAUCAGAAUGGUUGACGAUAAUGCAUACUUACCACAAGCCAGAUAUCGCCCAGAACUUUAGGUUCGCUGAGCAAUCAUUAUCUUCUUAUGACUAUUAAAGAGCUUCACUAAGACAAUCAUUGAAUUAAAUGUUUUAAAAUUAAAAGAUAUUUUAAAGAUUGUCAACUCACCUGACAUUUAGUUAAACAAAGCAAAACUUUUUU